GACGAACGCUGGCGGCGUGCUUAACACAUGCAAGUCGAACGGAAAGGCCCUGCUUUUGUGGGGUGCUCGAGUGGCGAACGGGUGAGUAACACGUGAGUAACCUGCCCUUGACUUUGGGAUAACUUCAGGAAACUGGGGCUAAUACCGGAUAGGAGCUCCUGCUGCAUGGUGGGGGUUGGAAAGUUUCGGCGGUUGGGGAUGGACUCGCGGCUUAUCAGCUUGUUGGUGGGGUAGUGGCUUACCAAGGCUUUGACGGGUAGCCGGCCUGAGAGGGUGACCGGCCACAUUGGGACUGAGAUACGGCCCAGACUCCUACGGGGGGCAGCAGUGGGGAAUAUUGCACAAUGGGCGGAAGCCUGAUGCAGCAACGCCGCGUGCGGGAUGACGGCCUUCGGGUCGUAAACCGCUUUCGCCUGUGACGAAGCGUGAGUGACGGUAAUGGGUAAAGAAGCACCGGCUAACUACGUG
RNAcentral lists this ribosomal RNA (468 nucleotides) under uncultured bacterium. RNAcentral describes it as "partial 16S ribosomal RNA". It matches the Rfam family "Bacterial small subunit ribosomal RNA", at positions 28 to 507 of the family's 1533-position model. The record is from RNAcentral.